Molecule: ribosomal RNA, 253 nt
Filed under: uncultured bacterium
Lineage: Bacteria
Description: partial 16S ribosomal RNA
Rfam family: Bacterial small subunit ribosomal RNA
Source: RNAcentral
UACGUAGGUGGCAAGCGUUAUCCGGAAUUAUUGGGCGUAAAGAGCGCGCAGGUGGUUAAUUAAGUCUGAUGUGAAAGCCCGCGGCUUAACCGUGAAGGGUCAUUGGAAACUGGUUGACUUGAGUGCAGAAGAGGGAAGUGGAAUUCCAUGUGUAGCGGUGAAAUGCGUAGAGAUAUGGAGGAACACCAGUGGCGAAGGCGGCUUCCUGGUCUGUAACUGACACUGAGGCGCGAAAGCGUGGGGAGCAAACAGG